Long non-coding RNA from Tachyglossus aculeatus (Australian echidna), 566 nucleotides. RefSeq lists it as uncharacterized. NCBI's taxonomy places the organism in Eukaryota, Metazoa, Chordata, Mammalia, Monotremata, Tachyglossidae. The record is from RefSeq and is a predicted model, not a curated record. The transcript has 3 exons.
UUCCCUCUGAUCCAACUCUUUAGGAAGGAAGAUGAAGAGGAUGUUAUUUCCAAGCAGGACCAGUCAAGUGACUGGAAUAAGGAGUGACAUGUGAUUGUGAAGCCCAGUCCGUGAAGAGAUUCUAAGAUGGCAGAAUGCUCGACUGUGAUAACUGCAUAAACAGCAAGACAAGGAGGAAAGGAUGAAGAAGCAAUGAUAAUAAGUGUGACUCCUUGACCUCUUCUUCCUCCCAAACCUUCUGCAGUGGGGCAGGCAUCCUUCCUCCUUUUGGCAUCUCUUCUGAAAGGAGGAUUGAUCAACUGCAGCUGGGGACAAGGAUAAAAGAGGAGGACAGCCAGCAGCCCCUGGAGCUUCCCCUUCAGGGAAGAUAGAACCAACAGCAAAGGAGGCUCUGCCACAGUCUUGGACUCCCAAAGCUUACUGCCCCAGGAUGGAACUUUGGAGAGGAGAGAGACUCCCACCUCCCUGAGGUCAAGUGACAUGGAAGAGAGUUCCUCCUGGAGGUUCCUAUUGGUCAGCUCUGCUCGUUCUGUCAGCACCCAUGAGCUGGACACCAAGAGCCUAUA